AAGAUUAAGCCAUGCAUGUCUAAGUAUAAGCAAUUAUACAGCGAAACUGCGAAUGGCUCAUUAUAUAAGUUAUCGUUUAUUUGAUAGUACCUUACUACUUGGAUAACCGUGGUAAUUCUAGAGCUAAUACAUGCUAAAAAUCCCGACUUCGGAAGGGAUGUAUUUAUUAGAUUAAAAACCAAUGCCCUCCGGGGCUCACUGGUGAUUCAUGAUAACUUCUCGAAUCGCAC
Molecule: ribosomal RNA, 230 nt
Filed under: uncultured fungus
Lineage: Eukaryota; Fungi
Description: partial 18S ribosomal RNA
Rfam family: Eukaryotic small subunit ribosomal RNA
Source: RNAcentral